Molecule: RNA transcript, 7978 nt
Organism: Grus americana (Whooping crane)
Lineage: Eukaryota; Metazoa; Chordata; Aves; Gruiformes; Gruidae
Gene: ZDHHC14
Gene name: zinc finger DHHC-type palmitoyltransferase 14
Exons: 10
Source: RefSeq, a predicted model, not a curated record
UCUUUCCCUGUCGCUCACCCGCAUAACUCGUUCGCCGUCGGCCCGAGAGCUGGAGCACGGGAAGACGGGGCCGCCGCCCGGGGCUAACGGCAGACAUCGCUUGCGGCUCGGCGGCGCGUGCCUGUGUGUGUGCGCGCGCGCGCCGGGGGCGGCGCGCGGUUGGUUGCGUGGGCCGGGGGAGGCGAGGGCUGAGUGGUUGCCCCGCGCGGGUGGGGAGGCGGCGGGAGUGGGGCUCCAGCGCAGGCACCCGCCGCCCGGCUCGCUCCCCUGCGCCUCCAGCCCGCCCUGCGGAGGCGGUGAUGGGGAAGAGUUAGCGUUGUCGCCGUGCUCCAGCGGCCGGAGAGAUUGCUGGGCUGGGCCAGGCCGGCGGCGCGGCGUCCCCGCCGGAGCUGGUGCAGAGAGACCUGCCUGCCCUCUCGCCAGGAAGCGACUGACUGACUGACCGCGGCGGGGGGUGCGUGCCUGUGUGGUCCCGUCCCUCGCCGCCUCCCCCCGCUCCUCCCGCGGGCGGCUGCCGCUGCGGUGGUUACCGCCUCCCCCUGAAGAUGAAGAGGUGGCAGCUGCUGCUUCUGGGUCUGGCUGCUGGGGAGAAACCUGGAUAGAGGCUCUAAAAAAAAAAGGCGGGGGGAGGCGGGAGAAAGUCGCCACUCUCUGGGUCGCGGAGGGGGAGUUGGGCGUUUUUCUCACCUUGCUUUGGACAAAAGCACAGCGAAACUAGGGAAGCCGCUCCUCUGCGCCGAGGGGUGGGGGCAGCAUGCGUGGGGGGCCCCGGCACCGCCGCGGGCCGUGGGCGAGAGCCUGCGCCGCGGCGGCGUGCGACCGCCCGCGGCGGCCCUGAGGCGGGCAGCGAGGAUGCUGAAGGGAGGGAGAAGUCCCGGCAGAGAUCUCCCACCGGCGGCGAAGCCUCCCUCUCCUCUCCCCCCAACCUGCCUUCCGCACGGCCGCCCGCCCCGCGGGGCAGAGGCGCUGGGGAACAUGAGGCGGCGGCGGGGACCUGUUGUGUAGGGGGAGGCGGGGGUUAAGCGCGGCGGCGGCGCCGCACGGGGCGUGAGGCGGGGAAGCGGUUCGGUGGGGAGGGAGGAUGAGGACCUGCUCCCGAGGCGCUGGUGUCUGUCGGGGACCGGCCCUGCCUCGACCUGCCUCGGGCUCGGGAGAAUCCCCUUCGGUGGAGUCGUGACAGGGGAGAAGGGCCCGCGGGGAGCCCUGCGCCCCCAGGUCUGCGCGGAGCGGCGGCCGCUUCCCGCUGAAUUGCGGCUUCAGGAAGAAGAGAGCUUGAAGUGUUUCUCGGAAGCUGGAGUUGCUGGUUUCUUUCUUGCCUUUUUUUUUUUUCCCUAAUGAUUACGCGUGUCUCUUGAGGGAACGUUUUAGGAAUGGUCAUUUUUAGCAGUGAAAUCUGCGCAAAGGAUUAUAACAAAUCUCUAUGAAUGAUAGACUCGAUUGCUAAACCUUGCCUUGACCAACCUUCUGACCCUCGGAGAAAUCUCUCAGGGUGUGUGUGGGAAGGGGAAAAAAAAAAACAACCCACAACCCUCCCAUUUGAAAAUAAACUUGAAAAAAAAAAAGACUAAAAUUUUUUGGACAGCCUAACUGCUUUAUAAUGACUUUUUUGGGGGUCUUGUUUUGUGAUAAGUUGUUUUAAAAAGGGUUGUCCUACAUGGUGGUUUUGUAACUGGUGGAGGAAGGAUCCCUCUCAAGUGUUUCUGAUAUGACAGCUUUGGUUUCUGAAGAGUUAACUGGUGUUUGCAUGAUACACCUAUUGCUAGUCUGGUAGCAGACUUUUCAUCUUUUAUUUGCAUUUUUAUUGACUGGGGCUGGUGGAGAGGGUUAUCUUGGUCAGAAGAAUAUUUGCACACAUAUAUAUAUUGUAUAUAUUUUUGGUGGGGUUCUCCCCACAUUUUACUCUCUCUUGAUGACUCCUGGAGGUGGUAGUGGGCCCAUGAAAGACUGCGAAUACAGUCAGAUCAGCACACACAGCUCUUCGUCUCCCAUGGAGUCUCCCCAUAAGAAAAAGAAAUCAGCUCCCAAGAGAAAAUGGGAGGUUUUUCCUGGAAGAAACAAAUUCUUCUGCAAUGGGAGGAUCAUGAUGGCUCGACAGACUGGGGUCUUCUACCUGACUCUUGUUCUCAUCUUGGUCACCAGUGGACUCUUCUUUGCGUUUGAUUGUCCAUAUUUGUCAGAGAAGAUUACACCUGCUAUACCUGCAAUUGGUGGGAUUCUUUUCUUUUUCGUGAUGGGGACCCUGCUGCGUACUAGUUUCAGUGAUCCUGGUGUCCUCCCACGUGCAACACCAGACGAAGCAGCAGAUCUAGAGAGACAAAUAGGUAACACUGAAGAUAUUGCAAAUGGCUCCAGUUCAGGAGGAUACCGCCCCCCUCCCAGAACAAAAGAAGUGAUCAUCAAUGGACAGACAGUGAAACUAAAAUACUGUUUUACUUGCAAGAUUUUCCGCCCACCUCGUGCCUCACAUUGCAGCCUUUGUGAUAACUGCGUAGAACGGUUUGAUCACCACUGUCCCUGGGUAGGCAACUGUGUGGGGAAAAGAAACUACAGAUUUUUUUAUAUGUUUAUUUUAUCUCUGUCCUUUCUGACAGUCUUUAUAUUUGCAUUCGUUAUCACCCACGUCAUCCUUCGUUCUCAACAAACAGGAUUCCUCAAUGCCCUGAAGGACAGUCCUGCAAGUGUGCUGGAAGCUGUGGUGUGUUUUUUCUCAGUAUGGUCCAUUGUUGGCCUCUCAGGUUUUCACACAUAUUUGAUCAGCUCCAAUCAAACAACAAAUGAAGAUAUUAAAGGAUCAUGGUCAAAUAAAAGAGGUAAAGAGAACUAUAAUCCAUACAGUUAUGGCAACAUCUUUACUAAUUGCUGUGCUGCGCUCUGUGGGCCCCUCUCUCCAAGCUUAAUUGACAGAAGAGGAUUUAUACAACCAGAUACCCCACAAUUAGCAGGACCAUCAAAUGGCAUUACUAUGUACGGGGCCACACAAUCUCAGAGCAACAUGUGUGACCAAGAUCAGUGCAUUCAGAGCACUAAAUUCGUUUUGCAGGCUGCUGCCACCCCCCUACUACAGAGUGAGCCAAGCAUAACUAGUGAAGAGCUACCUUUGCCAGGAAAGACUACUAUCAGCGGGCCUUGUGCAACUCUAACUCUAGGGCAACCAACACCACCAUCUUCUAUGCCAAAUCUCACAUCAGAUACAGGUUUGACAGACAUGAUACCAUUAGAAGAGGAACACGAAGGUCAUCAGUUUCUCACUCCCGAAGAAGCUCCAUCACCCCCUGGGAUGCUGCCAAGUGGAAGUCCUAUUACACACAGCCAUACGAUGCAUGUCCUGAGUCUAGCCAGCCAGGAUUCAUUGCAUGAAGACUCAGUACGUGGUCUUGUGAAGCUUAGCUCAGUUUGAACAGCUUUUUUGAACGUUGCACUGUUUCUUGGUGACUAUACAAAUCUCUACUUAACAGGAAUGACACUGCAGUACCACUGUAAGACUUCAUAACAUGCCUAUAAUGGAAACUUUAUCGCGUAAUGGAGUCUACUAAAAAGACAAAUUAUUUUUUCAAUGGAGCUAUGGCAUUUUUUUGACCAGGUUGUUUAUGGUUGUGCUUUGAUGGUGACUGCAUUUUCCUUUUAAGCAAAACCAGGAAAGGUCAAUAAUCUUGUUUCCUGAAGCUUGGGUACAGCAAGUUGGAAGUCAGCCUGUAACAAACACCAUGUACAGUACAAAAGAGAGAUUCUUGGAUGUGUAAGUGUCAUGCUCUGUGUUCUAUGCUCUUGUAAUACACACUUGUUAAGGCUUACCACACUUGUGGCCAGAAUGAUCUGCACUUACAUGUUAUGCUACUAAUAUUUGAGAUAGAAAAUUACCAUUCCAUUUGUUAAUCAAAAAAAAAAAAAAAGACUGCAGAUAUGGAUUUGCAUGCCACGCUACAGUAUGUGUUACAGUGGUGUUGGUAUUAAGAGAAAGUGCUGCUUUUUUAUUUGUGACUUUCAAAGUGCUGUUUCAUUUAAAGACAGUGCAACAAACAAAUUAAUGGACUAUAUUAUUUUUUCAGUUUAUUAAAGUUUAUUUUAAAUUAAUCAGUGGUGCCUAGAAGAUGGAGAAUUACUGAUUUGAUCAUGUUGCAUAUCAUUUAACCUUCUGUUUAAGUGUUUAGAGUGAGGUAUUGUGUUGUGCCAUACCACGAGAUUCUUCCACUCCCUAAUGUGAUACAAUUACCUGUGGACCUCCAAUAAAAUGACAUCCUCUAUUUCUUGGACAUGUGUACAGUUAUCCUUGCAAAGUUUUCCUGGGGAAAGAGAGGGAAAUCAUGAUUUGUUGACAUAGUUUGUAAAGAUUUGACUGGAAUAUAUUUACAUAAUGAAACCAGAGCUAUGGAGGAAGAGCUGGUUACAAUUAGGAUUGCUUCAGCAUCUUUUAUGGUUUUGUUUGAGAUGUGUAUUUGUUCCCAUAAGAAAUCUUUAUUUGGAAACAGUAGAGUUAGCCUCUGCUUGAACUGUAAUUCUGUAUCCCUUAUCACAUGGCUAAAGGGCAAGGGGCUUAAGAUUCAAGACAAAGACAGACAGAUUAGUGAAGUCAUCUUACAUGGUUAACAAUAUACUGUAGCUGUCCCCAGCCAUCAUCCUUCCUUUGUAUUUGUCCUUUAAUAUUUUAAAUAUUUUAAAUUUUAAAUGAAAAUGUUGAUUUCAUAGAAUUCUUCUGUACUUUUUGUUUUUAAGUAAAGCACAAUGAAAAUGUUAAGGAGAUUUUUAUAACUGUUUUUCAUGAUAGCUGAAGAGAACCUUAGUUCAGCUGAGAAAGCUUAAAUAUUGUAUUUACUAUGCUUUUCAGGAUGUGGAAUCUGGAUUCUUCUUUUUUCAGGACAAGUUAAGUGCAGAAUGUGCUUUAUCUGAUGCUUCUGUGGCAUGAAAGUGUCCUCCAGUUAAGAAAUGUCACAGUUCUGUAUCGUUCACCAUGCUCAUUCACUGACACCAAGCUAAAAAUCUUGUUUUUACUUCCGUUGUUGAAGUUGAGAACAAUCAGCCUGCAGAAAAUCAGUCACCCAUGCUAUUGAAGCAUCAGACAAGAUACCGACAAAGUCCCAGAUUUCAUAAGCAAUCUGCUUCUGAUGAUGUUAGCUUUGACCUAAUUUAGCGUGUAGAACAUAGCAACGCUUUCUGUCUGUAACUGCUGUAACAGGCCUGCCAACCUCUGGCGGGCAAGUCUGUCCCAGCUAUUGGAGCCACCCUCCCAGCAUUUUCCUGAAGCUGGGACUGUCUCGAGUUCUUUCCACCAGCCAGACUGUAGUGACUGACAUGUACCAGUUGGCCGGUCUCCCAAUAAGCCCCAAGUAUCAGCACUUAUUUCUGUGUCUGCUCUUGAAGAAGAGCCAGUGAUGCUCAUCUUGAUUUCAUCUUUCCCUGAUGUGGCUUCUCAUGUAUGAAGCCAUGAACAUCUGCAUUAAAGCAGGUAACGGAUUGAGGGCUGGAGAUAUUGGUCUCAUAGACCUGGGUAAAGAAUCCUGGCUUUGAGUAUGUAGACCAGUCUUGACUGAAUCAUUAUCUCAUAGGUGCCUGGGGGUAGUUAACUGUGGAUGCAUUACUCACUACAUAGGACAAGUCAAAUAUUUUUAAUGUGGUAUCAAAACUUUCCACUUGUAGCAGUAAUGAUGAGGAUCACCAUUUUAAGGAAAUUGUUCUCUUUAAGUCUCCCUGAAAUACUCGAGGGAUUUUACGCUUCCAAGAAUACUGACUUCGUGACAACAUUUGUAUGUCAUUGCCACUAGGGAGUAGUACAGAAAGCUGCUCUUCAGCUCUCUGCACACAAUAAAAUUAGUGUCAGUUUUAACAUGGAACAGAAGGGAGAAGGACAGGAUUAGAGUCUUUAUGCUGUUUUCCUUGUGCUGAUGCUUUUCACCAUCAUUUUUUGAACCUUUUGUUUAUGAGUGAGGAGUAAGAAUUACCUAACAAAUUGGAAACAGAUGUGGUAGUUAUUUACUUGUUCAGGUGACUUUUUUCUUUUAGUUUUUAAGAUGACAGCCUUAUUUUUUUUAACAUCCUGCCUAUGUUUUGAAGUUUGGCAUUUGAGAAUAAGUGGAAUACUUUGUAUUUGUUUAUCUAUAUAUUUAUAUCGCCCUUAUUUUAAGUGUGUUUUCCUUCCCAUCUGUCUUUUUGAAAUGGUGACACCUCCAACCGCCCUGACACGACUGCCUUGUGAGGACAUCUGCUGGAAGAUUUCGGAACUAAGUCUAUUAACCCAUAUGGUGUGGUACUUGCAGGCUUUAAUUGUCAGCAGGCAGUGAUUUAGCAGCAGGUUGAUCGAAGAGAUGGCUCUAGAAGGGUUUCUGGUCCAUUCCUCUCACCUCCAUCACAGCUGUCUUCAAUCGUGGGCGCUCCCUUCGUUGGAACUUGGAUAUCCAUCUGGAAUGAGUCAGCAAAUGGUACCCUGAAGAUGAACAUGGUUUGCUUGGCCUUGGGCCCGCCUAACUCUACAUUUUAAAAAUCAGUUGCUGCCCAAGUGAUUUUUGUUUUAAGGGCCAAAAUGAAAUAAGGUAGUAUACUUCAACACACUUUCAAAUAUUCUAAGGCCCAAAAUAUGAAUGGAAUGUGUUGUAGACAGCUGCAUAUAGAUUUAGUUCAUUUAAACUGGAACUGUCCUAGUUUUCAGGAUCUAUCUGGGUCAGGGCUUCCUGGUUUUGAUUGCCUGCCUGCCCGCAAAGACAUUGCAAUUUCACAUCUGGCUGAGUGUACUGCCUGGACUUCCAAAAGACUGUUGGGAUUAAGUGAGCUAUUUAAACCUGUGCAAAUCUAGAUUAAUUCUGAGCUGAUGCAGCAAUUCAGUUCCAUCGCCAGGAAGCAACUGUCUCUUAACAUUCAACUACAGAAUUUCAGCAUUCACCACAAACAGUGUAGGGUGGGGAAUAGAACAACUUUUGGAUGUUAUGAACAGAUAAAAUAGAAGUUUGUUUCUAAGAUAGGUCAGAGAGGACAGGAAUAAGAUGAUGAAAGGGAGAAGACUGUGAGUGAAAGCAGAACAGAGAAGAUUAGCAGGUGACAUGGAGGAAAAGAGGAAUUAACCUGUAAGCUGUAGGAGGAGCGGGAGGGGGAAUAAACAAAAAAGCCACACAGGGGGAAAAAAAGGACAGCUGUCAAUAUUAAUCAAACAAGACAAAAAAAUAAUAAUCAAUUGCUCAUUGGUAUUUAAACAUUUUUGUGAGAAAUUUCUUAAAAAUCAUUCUGGGAAAAAAAUUAAGAGAAAUAAGGUCAGACUUUUGAGAGAAAGCAACUGUAGGAAAAUGAUGAGAAAAAUGCGAGGAGUUGAUCUGCCUUCAAACUCCUCUCCCUUAAUACCUUUUCCUACUUUUGUUUUGAAAAUACAUUUGUAAUACAAAAACAGGUUAAAUCUUGGUCUCUUUGAAGUUGAUGGGAAGCUUAAGACAUUGACCAUGUCUGAAAAUGGUAAUUGCUUUAGCAUUUUGCAUUUCCGUACUGAUAAUUGAUUUAGCAUUCUGUAUUUCCAUACCAGAAGUGCCAUUGCACUGGGAAAAUGAAUGGUGUAGUAUGGUUCUGUGUUUCUUGGUGAUCCCUUCACUAAAUUUGCUCACCUUUAAGUAAAAGUGUUUUCCUAAGUAGUAGUCUCGCCAAUUGGGCGCGAAACCUGGAAUUCAGUCAGAGUUUCUGUGAGUAGUGUGCAAAUAGGAAUGAAGACUACAGGCUAGAUAAACUUCGUGGUUUACAAACCAAAAAGAUCUGUCCCACAGAGAUAUACUUUGCAGUAUAUACUGAAGUCAGUUCCACUGGUAACAAAACAUUAAUGCCAGCGUUGCUGUGUUGGGUUUGCGUGGCAAGGUUUUGGUAGCGGGGGGGCUACAGGGGUGGCUUCUGUGAGAAGCUGCUAGAAGCUCCCCCUGUGUCUGAUAGAGCCAAUGCCAGCCGGCUCUAAGAUGGGCCUGCCGCUGGCCAAGGCCAAGCCAGUCAGCGCCUCUGUGAUAACAUAUUUAAGAAGGAA